AACGAACGUUGGCGGCGUGGAUUAGGCAUGCAAGUCGCACGCGAAAGAGGGGGCAACCCCUCGAGUAGAGUGGCGAACGGGUGAGUAACGCGUGAGAAACCUGCCCAGAAGCGGGGGAUAACACUCCCAACGGGGUGCUAAUACCGCAUGUGAUGAGCGGUUCGCAUGGACCGCUUCUCAAAGAUGGCCUCUGCUUGCAAGCUAUCGCUCCUGGAUGGUCUCGCGUCCGAUUAGCUAGUUGGCGGGGUAAUGGCCCACCAAGGCGACGAUCGGUAGCUGGUCUGAGAGGAUGGUCAGCCACACUGGGACUGAGAUACGGCCCAGACUCCUACGGGUGGCAG
This 341-nucleotide ribosomal RNA is filed under the name uncultured Latescibacterota bacterium. RNAcentral describes it as "bacterial SSU rRNA". It matches the Rfam family "Bacterial small subunit ribosomal RNA", at positions 29 to 351 of the family's 1533-position model. The record is from RNAcentral. Lineage: Bacteria; Pseudomonadati; Candidatus Latescibacterota.